GAAAUGUGAUAAGUAAUGUGAAUUGCAGAAUUCAGUGAAUCAUCGAAUCUUUGAACGCACAUUGCGCCCGGCAGCAAUCUGCCGGGCAUGCCUGUCCGAGCGUCAUUUCUGCCCUCGAGCGCGGUUCGGCCCCUAGCGGGCCGGCCGCCGCCCGGUGUUGGGGCGCUGCGGGCCCUCGUGCCCGCAGGCCCUGAAAUGAAGUGGCGGUCCCGCCGCGGCGCCCCCUGCGUAGUAGUAAAGCACCUCGCAUCGGGUCCCGGCGGAGGCCAGCCGUCGAACCUCUCUUUUGAUGGUUUGACCUCGGAUCAGGUAGGGUUACCCGCUGAACUUAAGC
This 334-nucleotide unclassified non-coding RNA is filed under the name plant metagenome. RNAcentral's name for it is "partial contains 5.8S ribosomal RNA, internal transcribed spacer 2, and large subunit ribosomal RNA". The stretch from base 1 to 105 matches the Rfam family "5.8S ribosomal RNA", at positions 50 to 154 of the family's 154-position model. The record is from RNAcentral.